This is a long non-coding RNA of Astyanax mexicanus (Mexican tetra), 3164 nucleotides long. RefSeq lists it as uncharacterized. NCBI's taxonomy places the organism in Eukaryota, Metazoa, Chordata, Actinopteri, Characiformes, Acestrorhamphidae. The record is from RefSeq and is a predicted model, not a curated record. The transcript is spliced from 2 exons.
AGAAAUAGAAUGAAAGUUGGCCCGCUGUUCAGCAGGUUUUUAUAAUGUGAGAUUCAAAGUUUGAACGCUAGAUGUCAGAAACGGGCCAAAGAGUCUAAAAGCGGAGAGAGUGCGCAUUUCUAACGCAGAAAAACAGAGCAAAGAGUCUAAAAGCGGAGAGAGUGAAGUUUUAGCGCAGAAAAACGGACCAAAGAGUCUAAAAGCGGAGAGAGUGCUCAUUUCUAGUGCAGAAAAACGGGCAAAAGAGUCUAAAAGCGGAGAGAGUGCUCAUUUCUAGUGCAGAAAAACGGGCAAAAGAGUGUAAAAGUUGCCAUAAUUAAGGAGUUUAAUAUUAAGAGACAUCAUGAAAUUAAACAUCAAACAUCAAAAAAUCUUAGUUUACACAACACUGUCAAAGAUAAAGAUAGUAAGUCAAGAAAAUGGUGUUUAAAUGAAAUAAUCAGGAAAAAAGUAUUAUUUAAAGUGGUAUAUUUCAUUAUUUGUUUUAUUACGGAGUCUGUGGCCCGUGACUUCAAAUAUAUUUCUCCUUCUGGCCCCCAACAAAAAAAGUUUGGACACCCCUGCUAUAUAGUAUAGUUCCGUUACAGUUGUAGUUUAUAAGCAUGUUGUGCAGCUUCAGACUGAGACUGUGUUCCAGGGCAUGAUGAAUGGCAGCAGUGGGUCAAGUCUAAAGAGCAUGGAAAUGAGUGUAGUGCCGUAAACAUUUGGGGAAAAAAAUUCACUUUGUCCCUUUUCUGAGGCCUCUGUCCACUCUUGUGGUGACCUCUGACGCUGGCCAUGAUGGCCACUGGCCUCUCUGACUCUCUUGCGCUGACAUUUGGAGAGUUUGGCGAGUUCUAACCACUUUUUCCUAUCAUAAAAUAACAUUAAAAAUAACCUACUCCAAAGUAUUUAUGCCUUUAAAUAGAAUCGCAUUCUCACUUUUUUAAAAAAAAGAAGGGCCAAAUCGCUUCACGUGUCAACUGUUUUGAAGGUUUCCUAAACUGAAUUGGUGUUCAGCCUCUUUGCCGCUCAGUGAUUUCAGGUUUGUAAAUAGUGAAAGUGAUCAGAAGUGUGCACUUAACAUUUCCUAACUGUGUUUCUCUGUGUGUGUGGAUUUAUUCCGAUGUAAAAGUAGUGACGGUCUGCCAUGUGUAGUGUAGUGGAAGGAGUACUCUAAACUGGUGCCAUAUAGACUCCUUCUCUCUCUCUCUCUCUCUCUCUCUCUCUCUCUCUCUUUUUCUCUCUCUCUCGGUCAGUUUUCUCAUUGUGUUUGAUCAUCCGAUCAGGGGUGAACAUCUCUUAUAGUCUCAUAAGACUUAAAAAAACAUUAAAUAAGAUAAAAAGACCCCCGUAUACGUGUGAGGGACGAGCAUCAAAUCAGAUAUUUAAGUGCAAUAUUAAAAAGUGGAGAAGAUGAAGAGUCAAAAAAUAGAAAAUAGCUCAUAAAAUUUACAAUAGAAAUAGAAACAAAGGCUACGUUCACACAGCAGUGGUACCAGUGGCCCAAAUCCGAUCUUUGUGAAUAGCACAAAAAAAAACACACUGAAUUAUAGAAAUUUUUUCGAUUCUGAAUUAACACUUUCAGACCUGAGUUAGUUGCAGUGAUGAAAAAAAAAAUCUGAAUUAUUUUAAUUUUUGUAAUGCAUUCAAAACAAUACUUAUACAAGCAAUACUUUUAUUUUUUGUGUAUUUUUUUGGGGCAUUGUAGUGGAAUCAUUUGUUCAAGAUUAUUAUUUUUAUUUUAUUUAACUGUUGCAUACUAUAUUUUUGCAUUAUAAGGCGCACUAAAAAUCCUGUAAUUUUUCCCAAAAUAAUCAGUGCAACUUGUGUAGAAAUGUUACCAGUCAGGUAUUAAGGAGCAGUAAAGCCACUCCACUAAAUUGCAGAAUUAUGCAGGAGUUUCAGUGAAGUUUCUCCAGCACCAAGGCUGGAGCAGUAUUAGCAUUAGCUGCUAUAAGCGCUAGCUCUUUCUGCUGCACCCAGCCUUAGUGGAAAUCUGGAAAUCUAAGCUUAAUGUAGCUUACUUUUUUAAAAUUACAGUUUUGUUUACUUAGCUUAACUGUACAAUAUUAGAAGGAAAACAUAUAUAUAGUGCGGAACAUAUUGUAUUUUAUUGAUUUAUUUUAUUUUUUUAUUCAGUGCACUGGGCAUAGCUAAGCUGCUGUUUGAUUGGUUGAUAAAUGUCUAUUCUGAUGGACAGGCAAUAGAUCUCAGUCUUGGUUAAGUGCAAAAAUAGACAAGAAAGAAGAAAAUAAAUAAUGCUAAUGCCUUCGCUAAAGACACAGAAACACACAACUUUUCAUCAGGAAGAAUUUAAAACUGGGAACUCAAACAUACUAUUGGUGAUAAGCCCAGCUGUCAAUCACUGGAACUCAUUAGCUUGAUAGUUUUUUAGAUUCUGCCGAAAAUGAAACCGAAAAUGAAACCGAAACUUCACGUGAAGCUCUGCUCUUUUGCACUUACAGUACAUAUCAGUUUAGGAGCGUAUAGGAACUGUUCAGGCGGAUAUUUAUAUUUUAUAAUUGGAACAGCCAAAUAAGCAUCUAUUUUGGUGUUAAUUUGAUGAGAUUUGGGCCACUUUUACAUGCUGUGUGUACAGAGUCAAAUGAAUGAAUCACAGCUUUAUCAGGCUCACCUUUUCCACAUUUCCUUAAAAAUUUCUGUGAAAAAAUAAAAUAAACUGCAUGACUGGAACCACGAAGGCUCAAAGGCCUGGGUCUGUUAUAGUUAUUAGUCACUAAAUGAACAAUGACUCAAAACAAACAACACAUUUUUGUAGGAGUAGGGCAUUAGAUAAGGCGCCCAUGGAAACCCAUUAUCAGCAAUAUCCCCCCGGGGUCGCUCCGAAUUUCUUGCACGGACUCGAGUUUACACUGACGAUUCUUUUUAGACGUGAUAAUGUGGACCCAGACUGGGAUGGAAUGCCAUGUGUUUUCAUGUGACCUCUUCUUUUGUUGCUGUUAUUGUGGUUUUAUAAAUAUAAAUGCCGGGACUACUUUUUAUUUCUUGAGGAAUUGUGAAUUGCUGAAUUGUAAAUAACAAUGAAAAAAAAAAAGGCUUUUAUUUAUUAACUUUUCUUAUUUGAGUUUGAAUUUGCACUCUAAUAAUUGCAGAACAAAAAAAAAGGGACGAAUUGUUCAAAAAGUCUCAGUGGUGUUGAAAUAAAGAUAAACUUUUCCUAA